This 69-nucleotide transfer RNA is filed under the name Loxodonta africana (African savanna elephant). It matches the Rfam family "tRNA". From Rfam's summary of the family: Transfer RNA (tRNA) molecules are approximately 80 nucleotides in length. Their secondary structure includes four short double-helical elements and three loops (D, anti-codon, and T loops). Further hydrogen bonds mediate the characteristic L-shaped molecular structure. tRNAs have two regions of fundamental functional importance: the anti-codon, which is responsible for specific mRNA codon recognition, and the 3' end, to which the tRNAs corresponding amino acid is attached (by aminoacyl-tRNA synthetases). tRNAs cope with the degeneracy of the genetic code in two manners: having more than one tRNA (with a specific anti-codon) for a particular amino acid; and 'wobble' base-pairing, i.e. permitting non-standard base-pairing at the 3rd anti-codon position. The record is from Rfam by way of RNAcentral. Lineage: Eukaryota; Metazoa; Chordata; Mammalia; Proboscidea; Elephantidae.
GCAGUGGUGGUUCAGUGGUAGAACUCUCAGCUUCCAAGUGGGAGACUUGGUUGAUUCCACGUCAGUGCA